Alligator mississippiensis (American alligator) is the source of this 4856-nucleotide long non-coding RNA. RefSeq lists it as uncharacterized. NCBI's taxonomy places the organism in Eukaryota, Metazoa, Chordata, Crocodylia, Alligatoridae. The record is from RefSeq and is a predicted model, not a curated record. The transcript has 4 exons.
AGAUUUACUGAAGAACAUUGUUGCUGACUUGAGAAUUUUAGGACAUCUCUGGAUUGUGCUUCUUUGCACGGUGGAGUUUUCUGCUGCAGAGGAGAACCUUGGUGCAACGGAGGAUUCCCACCAACUUGUAGCUUUCUUUGAGGGUGCAUUUCUUUUUGCAUCUAAGAAAUGCUCGGUGCAAAGAGUUCCCGCCAUUUGUAUUGAAAUUCGAGCCACAUUAUUGGUUCACAUUAAAUUAUGCAUACGUGGUGGCUAGCGAUUGGCUUGCUAGCCGUAUAAAGAGCUUGGGUGGUUUCCGCCCAAGUCGGAGAUCGAGAGAGAGAAAAACCUUCGCCUUGCGUGAAGAUCUCUAAGCGCUGCGGAUCCUUACGGACCCAACACAUUUCUUAAAAGGCAAUAGGGGCCUGAUCAGCCUCUGGCCUCUCCCCGUCGCCGAUAGAUUCCUAGACGUAUCCCUCCCUGCGCGCAAAAAGAGAUGGACCCACGGAGUUUCGACAACUCCGUAGGAGAUCGAGCUUGUCGUAGUCCUCAAACAAGGAUUUAAGCGGAGCUGUGCCUGGAAAACUGUCCAGCCUACACCACGACCAUCUUGGGUGUUCCUGGAGUGAUUACCUUCACUCCCUGGGACUGGAGUCACAGGCUGCACAGCUUCCUCCACUCCGGAGCUGGUUCUCCCUGUCUGGGCAAAUUUUUGGCUGGCUCUCCCCAGGUAUGGAUGCCCAGUUUGGAAGAGAUUGACACAUGCAAAGAAGCUAGACCCUGUGCUGACUGAAGGUUGGAUUACUGGAUGCUUUAAACCAAUGAAUGUCAACAGUCUCCAUCUUCCUGCCAGAAUCUUUGCAUCAGACACCAGGAGAGAAGCAGCAAAUAAAAGAGAACACAUCCAACUGAUCAAAGACAAGAGGCACCCACUAUGUAGUCACAUUAUGACUCCCAGUUUAAAAUCAUGGAAAAGUUUCCUUUUUAAAAUACAGGCACUGGAUAAAACACCAACAGACACACGAAUAAAUGUGGCAGUUCAUUGACCCAGGAAGGAGUUAGAAUGAAUAUCAAAACUGCUGAGCAAUUUCCUGCAGGUGCAGAGCUCAGCUGGUCAAUAUGGAAAAGCUUGAACCACAUCCGAACAGGGGUCAGUAAGACAAAAGUUAACGUGCAGCUAUGGGGAUACACCAACACCAUGUGUGAAUAUGGAGGAAACUUUCAGACUACAGAACUCCUGAUGCUCACAUAUAAGAGAAUGAAGUAUCAACAAGGACCUUGCUAAAGCUACAGAUUGAGCAAUAGUAGGUGCCUGUUACUAGACCCACAUUUGAACAUGGUGACAUGACAUGAGAAGACUGAAAAAUAGUGCUAGUAAGCACCCUAUAUCUUAAAGUGCAUUGCUUUCUAUAACUACAUCUUGGGCAAGCCACUGGCUGCUGGGAUGAGACAAGAUAUUUCCUUAAACCAACAGAUCUCAAAGGCCUUAUGGGACAACAAUAUCAGGAUGACCACUGAGUAGAUGGAUAGGCUUUUCCAAGGUCUACCAGACUCUUUCUACACUUCAGCCUCACUUUAUCCUUUGUCUUUGUGUCUAUAAAACACAAGAUUCAUUACAUUUAUUUUUAAGACAAUGAAAUUACACAUUCAUAGAUUCAUAGAUGUUAGGGUCGGAAGGGAUGUCAAUAGAUCAUCGAGUCCGACCCCCUGCGUAGGCAGGACAGAGUGCUGGGUCUAGAUGACCCCAGCUAGAUGCUUAUCUAACCUCCUCUUGAAGACCCCCAGGGUAGGGGAGAGCACCACCUCCCUUGGGAGCCUGUUCCAGACCCUGGCCACUCGAACUGUGAAGAAGUUCUUCCUAAUGUCCAAUCUAAAUCUGCUCUCUGCUAGCUUGUGGCCAUUAUUUCUUGUAACCCCCGGGGGCACCUUGGUGAAUAAAUACUCACCAAUUCCCUUCUGUGCCCCCGUGAUGAACUUAUAGGCGGCCAUAAGGUCGCCUCUCAACCUUCUAUUGCGGAGGCUGAAAAGAUCCAGGUUCUCUAGUCUCUCCUCGUAGGGCUUGGUCUGUAGGCCCUUAACCAUACGAGUAGCCCUUCUCUGGACCCUCUCCAGGUUAUCCGCAUCCCUCUUGAAUUGCGGCGCCCAGAAUUGCAUGCAGUACUCCAACUGCGGUCUGACCAGCGCCCGAUAGAGGGGAAGUAUCACCUCCUUGGACCUAUUCAUCAUGCAUCUGCUGAUGCACGAUAAAGUGCCAUUGGCUUUUUUGAUGGCUUCGUCACACUGCUGACUCAUGUUCAUCUUGGAGUCCACUAGGACUCCAAGAUCCCUUUCCACCUCUGUGCCACCCAGCAGGUCAUUCCCUAGGCUGUAGGUGUGCUGGACAUUUUUCCUCCCUAGGUGCAGCACUUUGCAUUUCUCCUUGUUGAAUUGCAUUCUGUUGUUUUCUGCCCACUUGUCCAACCUGUCCAGAUCUGCUUGCAGCUGUUCCCUGCCCUCCAGCGUGUCCACAUCUCCCCAUAGCUUUGUGUCAUCUGCAAACUUGGACAGAGUACACUUCACUCCCUCGUCCAAGUCACUGAUGAAGACAUUAAAGAGUAUCGGUCCAAGGACCGAACCCUGCGGGACCCCACUGCCCACACCCUUCCAGGUUGAAACCGACCCAUCCACCACGACUCUCUGGGUGCGACCCUCCAGCCAAUUCAACACCCACCGGACUGUGUAGUCAUCCAAGUCACAGCCUCUUAACUUGUUCACCAGUAUGGGGUGGGAUACCGUAUCGAAGGCCUUCCUGAAGUCUAAGUAUACGACAUCCACCCCUCCUCCUGUGUCCAGGCGUUUCAUAACCUGGUCAUAAAAAGAAACUAGAUUGGUCAGGCACAAUCUGCCUGCCACGAACCCGUGCUGAUUUCCCCUCAGUAUAAUUUGUCCUGCUGGGCUCUCACAAAUGUGAGCCUUGAUAAUUUUUUCAAAGACUUUGCCAAGGAUGGAGGUGAGACUGACUGGCCUAUAGUUGCCUGGGUCCUCCUUCCUCCCCUUUUUGAAAAUGGGGACCACGUUGGCCCUUUUCCAGUCCUCCGGGACUUGGCCCGUGCGCCACGAGCAUUCAAAUAUUCCCGCCAGUGGCUCUGCAAUGAUGUCGGCCAGUGCCUUUAGCACCCUCGGAUGGAGCUCAUCCGGGCCUGCCGACUUAAAGGCAUCCAGUUCUUCCAAGAGACUCUGCACCAUCUCAGGGUCUACACAUGGAAGUCUGGCGCCUUGCUGCUGCCUCUCUACAACCCCAGUGAGAGACUUGUCGUGUCCCUCGCUUAGGAACACUGAGGCAAAGAACUCAUUGAGGAGUUCAGCCUUGUCCCCCCUGUCCGUCACCAAUUGUUUCUGCCCAUUUAGCAGGGGUCCUAUUCCUCCCUGGGCCUUCCUUUUACUCCCUAUAUAUCUAAAAAACAAUUUCUUGUUGACUUUUACUUGGGUUGCCAUCCUCAGCUCCAUGGUAGCUUUGGCCCGUCUAACUGCCUCCCUACAAGCAUGAGCAGAGGAGGUAUAUUCGUCUUUGGUGAUCUCUCCCUGUUUCCACUUUUUUAUGUGCUCCCCUUUUGGCCCUUAGGCUGCCCUGGAUUUCUCUGGUCAGCCAGGGAAGCCUCCUGGCCCCUUUCCCUCUUUUGCCUCGCUAGGGGAUCGUCUUGCUUUGUGCCCAAAGGAUCGUUUCCUUAAGGCACAGCCACCCUUCUUGGGCUUCCAUUUCUUCAAAUCUCCUACUCUGCAGUGCGUCCUUGACUAAUCCCCUGAGUUCAUUGAAAGUGGAUUUUACAAAAGUGUCAGCAUUACCUUAACUCUCUGCCAUUGAAACCAGUGGGAUGUUUGUUUGAGGGAGUUUAAGUUAUUCUUAUGCAAACAGCUUCAAAUUAUCUUCUCAUAUGUCAUUUAUUCUUAUUUCAUGUAGAUUGUAUCCCUGUUUUCAUAACUUUUCUCUCUCUCUUGGUUUUGAAACUGUCAUGCUCAGCUUUCAGUCACCUUCAAUCCUUUCCAAGUGAUAAUGUAUAUGUUUCCACAUCACAUAGCAUUACUGUAACAUACUGACUAUUCUUUCAAAACUCAUUUUGUGUAAUCUUUCCAUAGUCUGAUCAGAGCAACUUUUUAAUGUUUUCUUGGUACAUUAGCACUGUGAAAUUGCUGCUAACACUGUCGGCCAAUUAGCAACUCUUUAAUCUGCUAUAUUGUUUGUCAAGCCCGUGUGACAGAAUGACAGGGUACCAUACUAAUUAGCUGACUCCUUCAUAAGUAGAAAAUUGCUCCUUGUUUGACAAAUAUUUUAAGUAAAAAAAGUGGAGACCUGAAAGUCUAGAAACAAAUUUAGUCAUGGAAGGUUGCAUUAAAGAGUACUGAAUAGCUCAGGUAAUUGGUAAUGGGAGAAAAGACCUUUUACCUUUUUGUAAUAAAUCAGAAAAAUUAGUGAGUGGAAGGAAUGGAAGUAACUUCUAAAUGUGUUAAUUAAGACCAGGGUUUAAAGUCUGAUGAGUUUAUGAACCUCAGUCUAUGCUUGAGGAAAUUGGGUUUACUGAGGCUGAUGUUAAGUAAUCAGCUGGGAAGACACCCAACCUCUCUGCAUACAGCUGGCCUCCCUCAUUACCAGUAAAAGUAGUGUCUAUGUCUUUAGCUGCCAGCCUUGUAACUUUCUGAAGAGAAGGUCUUAGGAUGUGUACAUGGGAGAUGGGUGAUUUUUUUUGGAGAGUGGGAGAGGCUGGGAAUAGAAGUUGCCUUUGUAAGCCUUAGUUCAUUUAAUUCAGUCCUGCAGUGUUGACAAUGACCAUGUUACUGUCUGUGCAACAGUAAAUUCCUGUUUUAUCCAAAAUAUUACAAUAAACAGUACCAUACAACUUCUA